This 458-nucleotide ribosomal RNA is filed under the name Vibrio alginolyticus. Its description in RNAcentral is "partial 23S ribosomal RNA". It matches the Rfam family "Bacterial large subunit ribosomal RNA", at positions 2388 to 2840 of the family's 2925-position model. The record is from RNAcentral. Lineage: Bacteria; Pseudomonadati; Pseudomonadota; Gammaproteobacteria; Vibrionales; Vibrionaceae.
UUCGAGCAGGUGCGAAAGCAGGUCAUAGUGAUCCGGUGGUUCUGAAUGGAAGGGCCAUCGCUCAACGGAUAAAAGGUACUCCGGGGAUAACAGGCUGAUACCGCCCAAGAGUUCAUAUCGACGGCGGUGUUUGGCACCUCGAUGUCGGCUCAUCACAUCCUGGGGCUGAAGUCGGUCCCAAGGGUAUGGCUGUUCGCCAUUUAAAGUGGUACGCGAGCUGGGUUUAGAACGUCGUGAGACAGUUCGGUCCCUAUCUGCCGUGGGCGUUGGAGAAUUGAAAGGGGCUGCUCCUAGUACGAGAGGACCGGAGUGGACGAACCUCUGGUGUUCGGGUUGUGUCGCCAGACGCAUUGCCCGGUAGCUAAGUUCGGGAUCGAUAACCGCUGAAAGCAUCUAAGCGGGAAGCGAGCCUUGAGAUGAGUUCUCCCUGAUACUUUAAGUAUCCUAAAGGGUUGUCG